GGGCGGAUAGCUCAGUAGGUAGAGCGCCGGUCUUACAAACCGGUGGUCGUCGGUUCGAGCCCGGCUCCGCCCA
This 73-nucleotide transfer RNA is filed under the name Sandaracinaceae bacterium. RNAcentral's name for it is "tRNA-Val". It matches the Rfam family "tRNA". From Rfam's summary of the family: Transfer RNA (tRNA) molecules are approximately 80 nucleotides in length. Their secondary structure includes four short double-helical elements and three loops (D, anti-codon, and T loops). The record is from RNAcentral. Lineage: Bacteria; Pseudomonadati; Myxococcota; Polyangiales; Sandaracinaceae.